This 433-nucleotide ribosomal RNA is filed under the name uncultured bacterium. Its description in RNAcentral is "partial 16S ribosomal RNA". It matches the Rfam family "Bacterial small subunit ribosomal RNA", at positions 29 to 507 of the family's 1533-position model. The record is from RNAcentral.
AACGAACGCUGGCGGCAUGCCUAACACAUGCAAGUCGAACGAGACCUUCGGGUCUAGUGGCGCACGGGUGCGUAACGCGUGGGAACCUGCCCUUAGGUUCGGAAUAACUCCCCGAAAGGUGUGCUAAUACCGGAUAAUGUCUUCGGACCAAAGAUUUAUCGCCUUUGGAUGGGCCCUCGUUGGAUUAGCUAGUUGGUAGGGUAAAAGCCUACCAAGGCGACGAUCCAUAGCUGGUCUGAGAGGAUGAUCAGCCACACUGGGACUGAGACACGGCCCAGACUCCUACGGGAGGCAGCAGUGGGGAAUAUUGGACGAGGGGCGAAAGCCUGAUCCAGCAAUGCCGCGUGAGUGAUGAAGGCCGUAGGGUUGUAAAGCUCUUUUACCCGGGAUGAUAAUGACAGUACCGGGAGAAUAAGCACCGGCUAACUCCGUG